This 264-nucleotide unclassified non-coding RNA is filed under the name Hevea brasiliensis (rubber tree). Lineage: Eukaryota; Viridiplantae; Streptophyta; Magnoliopsida; Malpighiales; Euphorbiaceae. The record is from RNAcentral.
GUGUGCCUGUCGCGGCGCUGCCGGUGUCCGGCCCGCUCGAUGUGAUCGGCGACGCGCCGGUCGGUGUGCUGAACAAUGAUCUGCAGGCGGCAUGUCUGGCGGCCUUGAAUAUCCCGCGCGAUAUCUGCCGCGAAUUCGCGGCAUCCCGAAGCUGGGGCGCAUGCGCGCAGGCCUUUAUCGACAACGUGACGCGGGAGCNNNNNCUGGCGUCGCCGUCUUGCCCGCCGGCUCCGGCUGACAUCGGAAUCCCUGCCAACCGCCUGA